GGGUUUGCUUUGACAACACGUACACUAAAUUUGGAAUGAUAGAAAGAAUAGCAUGGCCCUUGUGCAAGGGUGAUGCCCAAAUUUUUGAAGCAUUCAAUAAAUAA
Molecule: small nuclear RNA, 104 nt
Organism: Jaculus jaculus (lesser Egyptian jerboa)
Lineage: Eukaryota; Metazoa; Chordata; Mammalia; Rodentia; Dipodidae
Source: Ensembl